CGGUUAGUCACCUUCUGUUUGGGCAUGUCAUUUAAUCUCUUUGAGGCUGUUUCUUCAUCUUAAAAUAUGAGUGAGAAGGUAGUACCCACCUUACAAUGUGGACAAGAUUAAUUUAGGGAAAACACGUAGCACAGGGCUUCACCCAUGGUAAGUAUUUCAUAAACGGUAACUAUUUUUAACAAUGACAAUUCACAGAGUUAAUCCUAAUAAAAAAUGAUUACAGAAGAGGACGCCUCCACCCACAGGAAGGAGCCAGCACGGUGGGGAGCUGUUUCACCAGGGGAGUGUUCUCAGCAGCUGCCACACGUGGAGUUGUGGAGGAUCUUGGCAGUGGACUGCCACGGGAGCUCUGGGGAAAAAGGACCAGUUGGACUCCAGUACCUCCUGAGAGACCACCACCCUCCAUGCCUCCAGCUCAUGCCCAGCUCUGAGUCAGACGGACUCUUCCUGUUGUACUGCGAGGUUCUGCAAACCUUGAAGGGCAAACACAGUGAGGGUCUCUGACUUGCUGUGUGGACAGCCCACUCUCUGACAGCCCAGAUCAUCUGAAGCUAUCCCUGGGCUGGGAGCUGGAAGCCAUUCUUGUGAACCACUCCUUAUACCUUGAGCGAAGCCUCUUUGGGUCCCAGAAGUCUGAAGCUCCAGCUGCCUGGCAAGACUGAGUCUAGAUGAUUUCUUGGGUACCAGUAGUUUGGCAUUUAAAAAUACUGGAUUAACUGCAGUGUAAACUUAGAUUGCAUUUCAGAUUGUAAACAAUAACCCCCGUGCUUCAUGUGAUGUUAAAUCAGAAAUGAGCUAUUAGCCAAGCUAGUCCUCUUAUGAAUGAG
RNAcentral lists this long non-coding RNA (827 nucleotides) under Homo sapiens (human). RNAcentral describes it as "non-protein coding lnc-BRF2-9:12". Lineage: Eukaryota; Metazoa; Chordata; Mammalia; Primates; Hominidae. The record is from RNAcentral.